Molecule: ribosomal RNA, 301 nt
Filed under: uncultured bacterium
Lineage: Bacteria
Description: partial 16S ribosomal RNA
Rfam family: Bacterial small subunit ribosomal RNA
Source: RNAcentral
CAGUCGCCACGGUAAAACGGAGGGUGCAAGCGUUAAUCGGAAUUACUGGGCGUAAAGCGCACGCAGGCGGUCUGACAAGUCAGAUGUGAAAUCCCCGGGCUUAACCUGGGAACUGCAUUUGAAACUGUCAGGCUGGAUUCUUGUAGAGGGGGGUGGAAUUCCAGGUGUAGCGGUGAAAUGCGUAGAGAUCUGGAGGAAUACCGGUGGCGAAGGCGGCCCCCUGGACAAAGACUGACGCUCAGGUGCGAAAGCGUGGGGAGCAAACAGGAUUAGAUACCCGCGUAGUCCCUGUCUCUUAUAC